UUCACUCUCAUUAACUCAGGUGAAACUUUUCAUUCCUGCAACAUAAAACCCAGCGCUGCAAAAGUAAAACCCAUUUCUCACGCACCCUUCAAGUUUCUCAUCAAACGGUUGUUCUGUUCAUCUUCAAACCGUUACACAAAACCACAUUUAAUCUCCUACGAUGAAACCUAUUCUUCAUUCUGCAGCUCUAUUUAAAAUCACAAAAACCAAAAAAUAACUGACUGUGCAUCCAAAAUCCACCAGAAUUUUGGAUCGGAAAGUAUAGAACUCCACAACUCAGGAACAAGCGUACACAAUAUUACAUCUAUUAUUGCUACAAUGCUUGCUAUUUGAUACAGCCUAUUGACAAAAGGAUGCAUUAUUCAUCAGAGUAUGUUUUUACUCAAGAAAGGAUAAGUUGUUUUAUGUCCCUUGAAUUUCUUAUAUCUGCAAAGAAUGUUUUUUUUUUUCACUUUUCGGAAUUGUAGGUCAGUCUGUUUGCCUAUAUAUUAAUCAGUUUCACAUUGACGUCAAUUAAUAUUUAAACAGCUAGCAAAAUCAUGUAAGUUUUUGUUUUUAAUAUUC
Mercurialis annua (annual mercury) is the source of this 564-nucleotide long non-coding RNA. RefSeq lists it as uncharacterized. The transcript has 3 exons. NCBI's taxonomy places the organism in Eukaryota, Viridiplantae, Streptophyta, Magnoliopsida, Malpighiales, Euphorbiaceae. The record is from RefSeq and is a predicted model, not a curated record.